RNAcentral lists this ribosomal RNA (445 nucleotides) under uncultured bacterium. RNAcentral's name for it is "bacterial SSU rRNA". It matches the Rfam family "Bacterial small subunit ribosomal RNA", at positions 335 to 797 of the family's 1533-position model. The record is from RNAcentral.
GGCCUACGGGGGGCAGCAGUAGGGAAUAUUGCACAAUGGGCGAAAGCCUGAUGCAGCAACGCCGCGUGCGCGAUGAAGGCCUUCGGGUUGUAAAGCGCUUUUCUGGAGGACGAGGAAGGACGGUACUUCAGGAAGAAGGAUCGGCUAACUACGUGCCAGCAGCCGCGGUAAAACGUAGGAUCCGAGCGUUAUCCGAAUUCACUGGGCGUAAAGCGCGUGUAGGCGGCCGUGUAAGUUGGAUGGGAAAUCUCCCGGCUCAACUGGGGGGGGACGUUCAAGACUGCAAGGCUAGAGGGCAGUAGAGGGAGGCGGAAUUCCCGGUGUAGUGGUGAAAUGCGUAGAUAUCGGGAGGAACACCAGAGGCGAAGGCGGCCUCCUGGACUGCAACUGACGCUCAGACGCGAAAGCUAGGGGAGCAAACGGGAUUAGAUACCCUGGUAGUCCU